Molecule: long non-coding RNA, 4083 nt
Organism: Etheostoma spectabile (orangethroat darter)
Lineage: Eukaryota; Metazoa; Chordata; Actinopteri; Perciformes; Percidae
Exons: 3
Source: RefSeq, a predicted model, not a curated record
AUAGGCAUGUGACCCGUUUCGACUCCACCCCCUCAAAGAAUCAGAAUCGAAAAGAACCGGGAUCUGAAUUGGAAUAAGAAUUGUUAAAAUCCAAAGAUGCCCAACCUUAUUUAUAGUAAGAUGUAAUAUGUCUGAGGUGUGUCCCUGCUCCCGAAAUUAUGCUAGGAAGCAUCAAUAUUACAGCAAAACUGACAGCUUCCCUUUGUCAUUUGACUUCUCAUUUUUAGUGAUCUAGUAAUAGUGACACAGGACUGUAAAGUAAACUGUAACCAAAGGUGUGUAUUUGUAAAAUGUAACAUUAGAUGAAAUGGUCAAAUGAACUCUCAUUAUGCAAAGUUCCUUUUGUCAAACUUCCCUUGUACUUUUUUCUUGUACUCAGACGGACGUUUCUACACAAUUCUCUUCUGCCUUUUUUUUCAUACGAGAAGAGACAGAACUACAUUUACAAAGUUCAAUCACUGCCCAGCACUGCCCCCCCCCCCCCCCCCCCCCCCCCCCCCCCCCCCCACCGGGGUCACCUGGUACUCACAGCCGAGCCAGUCACUGGCUGUCCAAAUAGAUUAAAGGACCACACCGGUGUCAAGUUACAUUCCUGCCGACCAUUUUCCAAAGCACGCUCCGGUGUUUCUCGCUUGAUUUAAUGGAUUUAUGCUCAGUCGACUUGCAGGAAAAGCUCAAUCCUUACCUCAUUUCUGCUUUUGUUUGUUGUCAAAGUUACAUCACUGGUUGUCAAACUGGGCCAUGCUUUAUUUCACAGGUUCCUAGUUUCCCAAUAACUUCCUAACAAGGAGUCUGGAAAACUCACGCUGAUGCUUAGACAGCUUUGAAGGCUGGAUGCUGGAUCCCUAACCCUGAUGUUGUCUUCGGGUCAAAUUUGACCCGUUUUCAAAGUUUUUUUUUAAUAUCUGAAAUAAAGGAAUUCGAAACACGGGGGAAAAAUGUUGGAAAAAACGGCAAAAUAUAUGGCAAAAAAAUCAAAAAAUACCAAAAAAAUGCUAAAACUUCAUAAAAAAACUUUGUCAACAGCAACAAAAACGUUGAGAUAAGGGGAAAAUGUUUUUCAUGGUCACAGGGAAGACAACACAAGGGUUAAAGAGAAUAUUCACACACACACAAUCACUCGGGCAGCGCCCUUCCUCUGCAUGUGCACCUUUUUUUUUUAAUUGCCUGUGCACACGCUGAGGAAGGGCGCUGCUCGAAAGGUCCGAUGUGUGGCAAUAAACUCAAAUUGGAUUGCUCUCCUAGUAGCUUUAUUUAUAAUAUUUACAGGGGAAAUGAAGACAAUUAGUCCAACUGGAACACUUGUAAUGUUUCCUCAUUGGUAGCGUAACCUUUCUUUACCAAAGUCAACUCCAAUAUAAAAACUCAUCUCCAGUUAAAACAAUUUUAGGCAGUUCUAGCUAGAAAAUUCCUCUGGAAAUUAAAAACCAAACUAUGUGACAAUCACAUCAGUUGCUGGUUCUUUCUUAAAACAAUCUAAUAAACGACAUGUGGGUGUGUUUGCCCAUAUGGAGCUAAUUUCUCAAAAAACAUAUUUAAUUUGUGUUCAUUAUGAACUAAAAUAACUACGGGACCUGGUAAAUAAAGUGUUUUAACAGGUUGCACACACACAUUGGGACACUAAACUAAGAUGACAAAUAAAUGAAAUACACGAUGACGUCAUGAUGGAUUUCCUUUCCCUAGCGACAUCCUAGUUUUUAUUUUAGAGUGAAAUACAAGGAAGCCAAUAACUGCCUGAAAGGUAGAGAAAACACUAAAAAAAAAAACAGCUGUGGGAAAUGGACGGCAUGAAUGUAAAGUGCAUGCAAUCCAUGUUAAAUGGGCUCAAAUUUGAACACACUGGUGUGGUCAUUUAAACAAAUCAUAUAAGUGCUCUUUCUGUCGCAUUUCAUUAUUUAUUAUCUCAAAGGUUGUGAAAAUUUCGUGUUUGUACUUAUGCUAAUUAUGUAUUUAGCUGCACUGUUCUUGUAUUGUACAGAAGACUAAUGUCCCUACUGAGAGCAUUUGGUACAGUAUGUCGGUGUGAGACACCCACAUGUACAUUCUCAAAUUCACACACAUCGUAUGUGAACUUGUUUAAACUACCAAGCAAAAAAAAAAAAAAAAGAUCAAUUUCUACUUACAAAUCAGUAUCCUUACUAGUGUGCGGUAUGAAGUUCAAAGCUCUGAACAACACACACUGGUUAUUGAUUUGGGGAGAUGCCAAAUUCAUCUGCUGUUGAAAAGUCGAUGGGGAGUCACGUGGCAGACGUGAGCGCUGCUGCCGGCUUCGCUGUCCACGCCAUUGGAGAACUGGAUGUGUUUGGGCUUCUUCUGUCCACCAGUGUCGGGGAGGGGGGGGGAUCACUUUCAACACAGGAAGGUCAAACUAGAUUUUGAAACUGCGAUCGGCAUUAUUUCAUAGCACUUGAUUUAAGAUAACAAAAAUUGGUUAACAGGUAACUACCAUUUAUUUUUCAACCCUAUUUUCCCAUAUUUUUGUGUCUAAGUGACUGAUCGGAACAACAAUCUUUGACAUCGGUCCAGUAUUAAGCGAGAUCGUAGCGGAGAAACAAGCUACAACGUCAAGUUAAUGGGACACUUUGUAGGUACAGGUCGUAUUUACCUUCGCAAAAGUGUUUGUUUUGCGACUGACAGGUUCAGAUUAAUAUUUAUGUGUUGACAACAUUAUGGAAAGGAUUUCUAAGGAGGUUGACCUUUCUGUUAAAGAGUAACAUUAUUAUUUUUUUACACAUAAAAACGUGCAAAAUUUUGAUCGCCAUACCUGCCAAACUCCAUGUAAAUAAACAGUAAUUUUAGCAUCGUAAAAUACAUUUAAUUCAAAGUCCACAGAAACACAAUGCAACGAUGAAAAGAUGUUUUGGUUCGUCUUCCCACUUUUACAACCAUCACAACUCUAGUUUGGGUUGAAAUAAACACACAGUUAACCAUUUUACAUGUGAAAAUAUGUUGGCUCUGUACAUGCUAAAAGUAUUGUUUUUUUAAAUGGAGUCUGGUGGGUUUAGCGCUAGCGAGUUCAGAGCGGUUUCAGGUUAAACAGAAAGGUCUUAAAUUGGUUUUUAAAAAGGUCUCUCUCUGUAGGGAUCCUUUCCAUAAUGUUCUCAGACACUUAAUAAUAAUUAAGAAUGAUCAUCUGAGCCUGUCAGAACUUUUAGUGGACAAAAGUGACUCUGCACAUUUGCCCCAUAGGGUUACAUUGCAGCUCAAACUCUGGCUGCCGGUUACAGUGUUCUCGCUUAAUACUGAACCAGCGUUAAAGAUUGUUGUUCCCGUCAGUCACUUACACAACAAAACAUGGGAACAUUUGUAAUUUUGGUAAAAUGUCAAACAAAAUAAGUGGAAUAUUUGAAUUUCUAAACUUUAACCCUUGUGGAUCAGUGAAUAACGGCAGCUUGGCCAUACUAGCGUUAACAGACUAGAAUGAGCUAAAAUUAAAAAUUAAAACAAAUCUUCUGUUUGAGUGAAAUUAGUGAACUGAUCCCACCGAUGACAUCUCUGUUUGCCAAUGAUAAUCUCGUUAGAAUGAGUACACUGAAGAACACUGCUCAGCUGAGUUUCGUAGACUUUAAUUCCUCAAUGUGAACGUGUUAAUUUAUUUAUUUGGACUCUUGUUGUUAGGGGUCGGGGUCGGGUGCAUAGAUGUAAGAUGUAGGUUGCCCUUUACUUAGAGUUAAUUUGUUAAUGGUUGUGUUUAUUUUUAUUUAACUGUUGCCAAUUCCAUGAAAAAUAAGUCUUCAUUUACAAGUCACACAUGUACUUACUUAAGUUUUAAUAUUUCACCUUACAGGGGUGUGAGUAUGUUUACAAUUUUGUGUAUUUAUUACCAUUUUGUUUUGUAAAGAUAGGCCUAUAAUUAAGACCUGAGAAUUAAGUUCAAUAGAAAAGCUGAUAAAGCUCUUUUUUUAUCUACAUAAGUUAAAAGUGUUGAUGAGUUUGUAAGAAAUAGCAUCUGACAAGUGCAGCUACAAAGUCUUGCCUUAGAGGUUACAGAGGCCAAACUAGCCAGCAAUGGAACAAAGGAUUUGAUUCAAUGGAAAGUGCACUGCAGCUUUAAGGAACUGCGUUGCACCAGCCUCACAAAAC